This is a small nucleolar RNA of Gossypium raimondii (Peruvian cotton), 107 nucleotides long. It matches the Rfam family "Plant small nucleolar RNA R71". From Rfam's summary of the family: R71 is a member of the C/D box family of snoRNAs containing the C (UGAUGA) and D (CUGA) box motifs. Multiple nearly identical copies of this snoRNA have been identified in Arabidopsis, and it is thought to function as a 2'-O-ribose methylation guide for 18S ribosomal RNA. The record is from Rfam. NCBI's taxonomy places the organism in Eukaryota, Viridiplantae, Streptophyta, Magnoliopsida, Malvales, Malvaceae.
AAACCAUGCAUCAGGUAUUUUCUAAUUAACUCCUUGCAUCACUCCCAUGCUUCAUAUAAUGUUUCAUCAUCAGAUUACAAAAAAGACGUAAUAUCGUUCCUCAGUUU